Long non-coding RNA from Pogoniulus pusillus (Red-fronted tinkerbird), 331 nucleotides. RefSeq lists it as uncharacterized. The transcript is spliced from 2 exons. The record is from RefSeq and is a predicted model, not a curated record. Lineage: Eukaryota; Metazoa; Chordata; Aves; Piciformes; Lybiidae.
GUGGACCUGUAGGCCUCAUGCCUGGGUGCUUGUUACUGCCUGGGUCAAGGGUAAAGGUUCAGCAGGCAAAACUGCUGCUUCUGCAGCAUCAUCCCAGGACACUUAGAGUGGGAAGGACCAGGGAGGUUGUUCAAGCUGCACUGAAUUCCAUCACUGGCAGCCCUUGUGGAGUGCCACCAUGAAGGAUCUGAAGAUCAUUAUUUACUGGAAAGAGCAGAACAAGGCAGAAAUCGAUUCCCACCACGCUAGAUUUAUGUCUCCACUGCACUCUGUGUACAUCUCCUAUUUGUUCUAACUUCGUGGGAGGAUAUUUAAUACAUAAUGGAAAGAG